GAUUUUUUUGGGAUGCUGUUGGCAAGUGGAGGAGUGUCUCCUUUUGAAGGAUAGCCCUCUACAGACAACACUAAGCUGAAGACAACUUUAUCAUCAGUCAUCAGGGUUGACUCUGCAAAACCUUACUCAUGAGGAAUUCUUAUGCAGAUGCACCAUCCCACUGAAAUAAACUGAAUAAUUCAUCAGGGUGCAAAGAUGGUGAAUUACAGGAGAGUUUUAUAAUUACUACUGAGAGCAAACCACAUUCUACAGGAGGAUCCCUCUCAAACCACUAGAAGUCUAUACAUGAAAAGUCAAUGAGGUGAGGGUGGCCAUACAUCUCUUGUGGAAUCACACACCUAGCCAAGGAGUCUCCAGGUCUCUGAUAAUGCUGCUGUGCAGGACAUUCACCUAUUCUUUCUCUAAAUGCAGCAAACCUGGAAAUGAGGCAAUGCAACCAUUCAGAGGACAUCCUCCACCAUGACCCUCAAGGUCCAUCUUCAGCAUACUCAAGAGCCCUGAGAGAUGCUUCACCUACUUAUUUCUAAGUCUGGGGGUGCAAGGCAGGAGCAGGUAGGCAGGACAUAUCUCUCAGCAGCUUUCUCAAACACAUCAUGGGAGAGGUACAAACACAGAGAAACAUGAUGUCAUAUCUCAAAUUGGGCCAGCACAACUGGUGGUCAGGCACUCUUUACUCUCAGCAAAAACUCUGUGCAUACUGGACAGGUUUCACCAACACUAUGGUUUCAUGGAUGCCUCCUGGAUUAUGUGCCACCCAUAUUUUAACUAACAAAUGCAUAAAUUCAUGCCCCUGCUAGCUAAUAAAAUCAUAGGAUUUGUAAGGAUCUCCAGGAUUAUCUAGUCCAACCUCCUUCAGGAAGUGCUUUUCCAGAACCACCCCAGACAGCAUAUUUCUGAAAGCCAUCUGUGAAAGAGAUUCCAAAACUUUCCUAUGUGGCUUGUUCAUUGUCCUGCAAGGAAAUUUGUUCUGAGAUUUAAUGAAAAUCUUUAUUGUUACUGUUUAAUCACAUUGCCUCAUGUCCUGCCUACUGUGAUGGAGGAGGAAGGAGAUGGUCUCUUUUUUUUAUGGUAGUCUUUCAGUUAUUUGAAAACGGCUAUCAUAUGGUCCCUUAAUUUCCUCCGCUCCAAACCAAGCAUAUCUAGUUCUUUCAAACUUCCCUUGUUCAGCUUUUAUUCCAACCCCUUUUAAUAUUUUUCUUACAUGUCUCUCAAUUGUCUCCAGUUUCUCUACAUAGUUCUUAGAAUGUAGAGUCCAUAAUUGCCAACAAUACUUCUACUGAGGCCUGGUAUCUAUAAGAGAGACUGCCAGAGUCUUGGUAGAGCUACCUGACAGCUCAUCAGUAACUGGUACCCCACACUGGAUUCCAGUUCACUGGUCCAACGUGCUUUUAGAUUUGCCUUUCCUUUUUGCCUUGCAUAUUGUGUCACCGUCUACCCUGGUGAGUGUAAGUGAUUACAAGUGCACUGUUGUCAUGUGAACUUCUUUCCUUGGCCUGAGUGGGCCAUAGCAUUGUUCCUUUCCUUAGCUUCUUUAACACACUUUCUGGACAUAAGCUUAUCCCUUUCUCUUGACCCAGUUCUUCCUAUAUGGCUCUGAGAAUCUGUUUGCAUGUCUGCUUACCAAUACACAAGUUUUGUCCUACAUUUAAUGAUCUCCCACUCUCCAAAAUAUGUAGAGAUAUUUGGAGAGAUCUGGUUGUUGUAGACCUAAGCCAACCCAUUAGCUUGAAUGUGGUCAGAAUGCAGUCAUUAAAGUUAACCUCUCUCCAGAGUCUCUCAUCUGGGAUGGACAUGCUACAUCCCUGGUCAGUGAACUCUACAUUCUGCAUCAACAUACAUGCAUUCUGGGAUACAGCAAUUUAAGAGUAAUGACUUCAUUACAGCACCCAGAAUUUCUAAAUUGCAUGUAGAUAAGGCACAACAGAUCAUUGCAUUUAAUUUCCCCUUUGGCUUUGAGGGAGAUUCCUGUGUAUACUAGCCUUUUCUUUCAUCCCCUUUGCCAGGCAAUGUAUUUCCACCACAGGAGAAGAUUGUUUUUGCUAGAACACUCUUUCAUGGAAUGUGGGAAAAUAAAGGUAUUUCCACAAUGCAUCUGGAAAGCUCCUUUUUCCCUCCAUCCACCCAUACCUUCCCUGAAGCAACAUUCAGCCCUGUCUUUUCUCAAUGGAAAGCCGUGGCUUUUAUAAAGAAAAAUAUUCAGGAAAGGUUUUAAUCUAGACAUUUAAACUUGUCUCUGCUAAAUAUUAAUUGCUUACAUUAGUUUGUUAGAGGACAGAAGGUAUUGGAAAUGUAUGAAAUGUAGUUAUAUUCAUGUUAUAAACAUCAUUUUAAUUGCAUAGUAUAUUACAACUUCAAAACUGAUGCUUUUAUGCAGACAGAAUCAGCUGUAAAUUGCAUGCUCUAUCUCUCUCUCUCUCUCUCUCUCUCACACACACACCCCUAUAAAGUUUACAAUAUAAUAUAUUAUGUUGCUGGAAAGGUAGCAUCAUUUUCUAAAUGUUCGUAUUACCUGACAUUUCUAUGCGUUUUAUUCUCAGUGGACCCAGUGGCUGAUAAAAACAACCACCCUAUAUACAAAUUCCUUAAAUGGAAAUCUAAACCUAUAGCUAAGUGCAUAGCAACAUAGUGAAUUUAAACCCAAUCUUACAAAAAUGCCUAGAGCAUGUACAGGCAGUGUUGGGGGAAUUAACUGAAAACAAAAGGAAUAGAGUGAUUUCCUUGUGUUCAUUUUCAGUGUUGUAUUUUAAUCAAAUAUACAGAGCCUCAACUGGUUUAAACUGGACUGUCUUGUUGGCUAAUAUUCACCAGCUAAGGCUCUGGCCCAAGUAUUCUGACUUUUUGUGUAUCUACUCCUCAUCAAGAGAAAUGUGUGGUGCUUUACCUAUAUCAAAUAAGUAAAAGAUGAAAUGUCCUAGAAUGUCAUUGUAAUAGGGUACUCUGUCCUUUAAGAGGGAACACUCGGCCCUGUUGGAAAAGCCUAGCUACAUGGCUUUUAGAUAAGCAGGGAGUGUCUGGCUGGAAGCCUUACAUCUUUAAAAUCUCCCAGAAAAGUAAUCAGAGGGGAGAAGGAAGCAAGCUGUGAGUGAAGCAGUGGUAUAUAAGGAGAGAAAGGCCAGGCUGUUGUGUCAGGGCCAGAGCAAAAGAGGCUCCUUUCCUUGUGACAGGGACAGAGCAAAUGGAUUUGGUCUUGUUUGUUUGUUUAAAUGACUGUGCCAAGCUUGGGAGGACUGGCUGAAGAACUCCUCAGGGAAUGACCCUGCCUGCAGAAGCCAGCAGGUCAAGUCUUAUUGACAUAGUUAGAAGAAUCUCAAGAUAUUUAUGGUUUCAUGAAUGGGAACUAAUAGCAAGAUGCAAACAGAGGGGUGAAAAUGAAGAUCAAGAGGAUGGGAGUGGGUGCAAGGCAGCUUGGAGGAUGGAAUAGGAUGAAGUCACAGGGGCAUAUGGAUAUUAGAAAAGAAGAGACUUCUGCAGCUGUGAGUGGGAGUAGAUAAGAAUACGAGCUGGUAACAACAUAUUUAAUAUAUAUAUUUGUUCUUGUAAGACCUAGCUUGAAGAGAAAAGAUAAACAUGUGUGCUGAUGCUUGAACUCUUGCACUUUUGGUUUGUUAUGACUGUUGGUGGGGGCAGAAAAGCUGGAUUCUGCCCUGUUGGUGCCCUCGUCUGUUGGGCAGUGUCCUGUUGCUUCUCUGUGUAGCUCAUAUGCCUAGUUUUUCUUCAUCAGAUGUCAAGCCAAGUAACGGCUGGCUUUCCACGAGCUCAUAUUCCUAGCUGCGUGUGCCAGGUGUCUCCUGCUACUCUGCAGCUGUCUUUAGUUUCAUCUUCACUACUAUCCUGAGUCUGUGGCUACUUCAUAUAACCUGUAGCAUGCUGCAAGCUUGGCCUUUUGCCUUUUGCUUCUGCUUUUGUGUUAUUUGAAGGUCAGACCCAGAGCUGCUCACGUGUGCAUAAAGGCCUCAGGUCUUUGACUGUCUUAUUGUAUCAGGCUGCCUGACAAGCUUAGCAAUAUUUUAAAUGCUUCAAAGUUGUAUCCAUCAUUCCUCAGAUGGGUUUCCUCCAUAGAUAUCUCUCUAGUCCAUCAGCCCUGUGCUGGACUCCUAACUAGUCCCUCUGAGGGUGGAUUGUGAUGGUCCAAGAUUGCCUGGUAGCAGCCCCUUCUGUUCUGCUUGUCUGUACCAUUAGUAUCUUGACUGUGUUUAUUGCUGAAUCCACAUUUCUACUGCUUUGUGCGUACCCAAGGGAAGUAGGUGCUAUUCCUGUGUGCCAGCUGCUAUAAAUGCUAAACAAUAGCAUCUCUUGUUUCAUGGAUCUGUUAUUGAAAGUCUGCAUUUUCCCACUGACUUCUUUUAAUUUACAUCAUGAGCACCGGGUCUCAUUUUCUCUUUCUACUAUUUCUGCUUAUCAGUGUAAUUCAGAUUACAUUAAAACUGGCUCUACAACCCACUUGGAAGCAUGCUGGUUAUUGAUGUAAUAGCAUAGUUGCAAAUAUGGAUCUAGAAUAGCUAUCAACCUCCUUCUUUGUACACUGCAAGUCUCUGGAUCUACUGACACAUUACAGAUGUUCUCCUCUUGUUUGGCAGACUUAGUCUCUAAGGCUGUAUCCAGAUGAGCACGGUUGUAUGUACACAGGUAUGUGGUGCUGCAGAUGUGUCUGCAGCAUCAUAUACCACACAUUCUGUUGCUCUCCACUCUGCAAGGGAUCAGUGUGGAGGAUUUAUUUUUACCCUGGAUAUCCACAGAACCCACAAAAAAAAAGCAGAGUGGCUCAUGCAGUGGCAGCCUGCAGUGCCUAAAGCCGGAGCCUGGAUGGCUGGAGACACAGUCCACUGCUCCACAGACAGGCUCUGUGUGGCAGGAGUGAUGCGGCUGCAGCCCUGUGAGGCUCCUAGGACCCCAGGUAAGGCUUCUGGAACCUGCCCAAUGCUGGCCACAGCCUCCCCUACUGCACCUGGGGUGACCUGCCAUGUGUAGCAUGUGUGGCACAGGCAUUCCCCAGGGACAACUAGUGGCAGCAGAAGGUGCGCCACUACUAGUUGUCCCUAGGGAACCAAAUGUCCAUGCACAUCUGGAUGCAGCCUAAGAGAGUAUUUGUUUGUCUACUGUCCUAUUCAGCCUGGGGUCAUGGUCAUACAAAACACCUCUAUUGGCUAUCCCAGUGUUUUGUGCUUGUUCUUUUUUCACUUCAUUGGGGCAGGGUAGGGCAAGGUAGGAGGAAGGGGAAGCUUUAACUUUGUUUUCUCUCUGAGCACUUGCUUCUGCUGCUUGGUACAGGGUAAUUUGUCUGGAAAUCCAGCCUCCCUAGCAAUUUAAGUCCCUGUUAGCACUGAGGUGCUUCUUUGUGUAUUUGGUAAUCACACUUUUACUUGCUGUGAGCUGCCACUAUCAGUAGCAUAAUGAGUGGAGGGCGACUGGGGCACCAGCCUUUGGCACUCACUUAGAAGCUGCAGCAGGCAAGGACGCUGCCACUGUUACUGCACAGGAUGCAGCCCCUAGUUGCUAUAUCCUUGGGUGACAUAUUUCAUGUAUCCUGCUCUGCAUGGCAUGAGAGAACCAUAUGUUGUUAACAUUAAUUGGUCCUUUAUUGUGAAAACUAUUAGCAGAGGUGCUGCAAUUGUCUUUCAGCACUGCAGUCAUGGGCCUAGAGACUGGUGCAUCCUCCACAUAUUUUCCUCCAGAGGCUUUGCUCCUCCCUUCAAGUUCCUUGAGUAUUACUUUAUAAUUAGCUAUCAGAGGUUGCCAGGAAGCUUAGCCAGGUUUAGCAAACCUGACAAAGAAACAUUUGGACAUAGGGUGACCAUAUGUCCUGGUUUGGAUGGGACAUUCCC
Long non-coding RNA from Alligator mississippiensis (American alligator), 5822 nucleotides. RefSeq lists it as uncharacterized. The transcript has 3 exons. The record is from RefSeq and is a predicted model, not a curated record. Lineage: Eukaryota; Metazoa; Chordata; Crocodylia; Alligatoridae.